CAACUUUGGCCAAUGGAAGCCCCAUUUAGAUUGACUUUGUUGUAAUUUUGACAUGAUCUUGUAAACUUUGAAAGCUUUCUAGUUUUUUGGCACAAUAAGAUCAUCUUCAUUCGUUUUAUACCUUCUUGUCUCAAAUACAGCAUCAGUCAUGUGUCUAAGAAGCCUGGAAAAAAUUUACUGGAGGCCAGAACCUGGUAUAAGGGUGCUUUGUGAGGGUGGCAUUAUUUCUGGGAUAUUCAGUCUACAAAGCUGAAAAACAAGUUUUUUCUUUGUUUUGUUUUAUUAAGAUUCUCUGUAAAGACAUGAGAUAAUCUUGCUUCAUAGGCAUAUUUCUUAUGGGAAAUUUCUACAGAUUACUUUGUUCUAGAAGGUAUAUAGUCUUUGUGUGGCUACAUAAUUACUUAGCGAUGGAUAGUUUGGUUUAGUUAUUUUCAUUAGCUUCCAAUUUGAGGGCUUUG
RNAcentral lists this long non-coding RNA (458 nucleotides) under Pan troglodytes (chimpanzee). RNAcentral's name for it is "long non-coding RNA NONPTRT011626". The record is from RNAcentral. Lineage: Eukaryota; Metazoa; Chordata; Mammalia; Primates; Hominidae.